RNAcentral lists this ribosomal RNA (197 nucleotides) under uncultured bacterium. RNAcentral's name for it is "partial 16S ribosomal RNA". It matches the Rfam family "Bacterial small subunit ribosomal RNA", at positions 328 to 539 of the family's 1533-position model. The record is from RNAcentral.
ACGCUCGACACCUACGGGAGCAGCAGUGGGGAAUAUUGCACAAUGGGGGAAACCCUGAUGCAGCGACGCCGCGUGAGCGAAGAAGUAUCUCGGUAUGUAAAGCUCUAUCAGCAGGGAAGAAAAUGACGGUACCUGACUAAGAAGCCCCGGCUAACUACGUGCCAGCAGCCGCGGUAAUCUGAGCGGGCUGGCAAGGC